AUAAAGCUGACAAUUAGUCUCUAGCAGGGAUCUAUAACACUAGUUAUCCAUCAGGACUUCCACUGAGAGACUCUUAUGAUUUCACUGAUAAGAGUCUGUAUUCCAUUUGCUUUGAAGGCAGUUUAUUUCCCUACUUGACUAUCCCUGGUCCUCACCAAAACUUUAGUCUGUCAUUUGUCAAUGAUUUCCACAUCUGGCAAAUAAGAACCAGUUGACAGCAAAAUUUUAUCUCAGUGGAAGUUCAUGUGAAUUGCUACUGCAUGUGUCACAAAUGCUUGCUAUAAAUACGAAUAUUAUUCACACUUUUAUUCAAUACCAAUCCAUAACUCUCCUCCAACUCUCUUAUAAGUUUCCAGGACACUGAACAGAAGGAAUCAUGGAACAGAACCUGACAAAACUUAUGAGGGGAAAACCUGUGGCCUCUAUUGCACACUGUGAACAUUUUAUAAAAAACAAAACAAAAAUAAAAACAGGUCAGCAUGUCUCAAGUGCCUCCCACCUCUGAUGUUAUUGCUCCAAGACUGAAAGAAGCAUAUGAACAUCUCUGCGAAUUUUAUCAUUUUUGUCUCCACUUCGUUUUCCAUCAACAUAAAGAGGAAAACUCUAUUAUUCUACUACAUAGAGAUAAUAUUCCUGUAAGAAAAGUAAACCAACAACAGCAAAAUCUGGACUUGUGGCAAAUUCUAGGUUACAUUCUGGAAGAAUUGCUUCACAUUCUAAAAUGAGCUCUGUUGCUUCCGCCUCUGGCUUCAAAUUCAUAGCAACUUUCUUUGUGUUUUUAUUGAUUUUCAUCAGAAGGAUUGACUAGAUGUGGAAAAUAAUCCCUCCUUUUUCUAUAAAAAUUAUCUAAACCCAUGACAGUUUUCAGAAAUAAAACACAUACAUUUAUAAAUUAAUUAUUAGGGGAACACGAUGUCAUCCAGUAUGACCUUGACAGACUUGAGGAGUGGGACCAUGUAUACCUCCUGAAGCUCAACAAGAACAAGUACAAGGUCCUCUGCCUGAGCCAAAGCAGUAUCAAAAAAGACUGGGGGAUGAAUGGAUUGAGAGCAUCCCUGCGAAGAAAGACCUGGGCGUGUUAGUGGAUGAAAAGCUGGAUAUGACCAAUCAGUGCACGCUCACUUCCCACAAAGCCAGCUGUAUCCUGGACUUCAAAAGAAGUGUGGCCAGUAGAUCAAAGGAUGUGAUUCUCGCCUACUACUCUACUCUUGUUAGACUUCACCUUCAGUACUAAAUCCAGUUCUGGGGCCUCCAAUGCAGCGAAGAAUUUAUAUUUUAGAAUGGGUCCAGAGGUGAGUCAUGAAGAAGACCAAAGGUCUAGAACACUUCUCUGAUGAAGAAAGGCUUCUAGAGCAGGGUCUCUUCACAAGACAAAGCUUUAAGGAGAGACUUUAUUCUGGCCUGUCAAUACUUACAGCUUUUGUGAGAAAGAUGGAGAGAGAUUUUUUUUACCAAUAAUGGAAUUACAGAAUGUCAUUCCUGGUUUUUCAUCUUCUUCUCUGGCAUAUCUCUUCAAUCUUACAAAACACAUGGAUGAAAUAGUACUUCUGCAUUGCAGUGAGAAUACAAAAUAUCUUUGAAAUAUCUAAAUCUCAUUCAUUUAAACACAGACUCAGGAGUCAUUAGUAUAUUCGGGAGUUCUUUGGAUGACAGGAAUGAAAUUAAUUUCAAGAUGCUGACAUUUAAAUUUAGAUGUCUGCUUCCAUUAUCAUCAGCAGAGAUCAAUGAAGCCCACAGUACAAACACCAUGUGUGGGCCAAGUCAGUCAGCUGUCCAGACAUGACUCAUAAUACCUUUUGAGAGGCACCAGGAUUUAUUAGAAAUCCACACAGAGAUGGCAGAUAUGGCACUCAGGAGACCAACAUUACUUUUGAAAGGCAGCUGGAGGACAGCCAGUAUUUGCUAUGGUAUCACUCAUCUUCCUGGACAACUCUGUUGAGGCAUUUGAACAGAGUCCAGUGUAU
This is a long non-coding RNA of Passer domesticus (house sparrow), 1964 nucleotides long. RefSeq lists it as uncharacterized. The transcript is spliced from 4 exons. NCBI's taxonomy places the organism in Eukaryota, Metazoa, Chordata, Aves, Passeriformes, Passeridae. The record is from RefSeq and is a predicted model, not a curated record.